UGGGGAAUCUUGGACAAUGGGGGCAACCCUGAUCCAGCCAUGCCGCGUGAGUGAUGAAGGCCUUAGGGUCGUAAAGCUCUUUCGCCUGUGAAGAUAAUGACGGUAGCAGGUAAAGAAACCCCGGCUAACUCCGUGCCAGCAGCCGCGGUAAUACGGAGGGGGUUAGCGUUGUUCGGAAUUACUGGGCGUAAAGCGCACGUAGGCGGACCAGAAAGUUGGGGGUGAAAUCCCGGGGGCUCAACCCCGGAACUGCCUCCAAAACUAUUGGUCUAGAGUUCGAGAGAGGUGAGUGGAAUUCCAAGUGUAGAGGUGAAAUUCGUAGAUAUUUGGAGGAACACCAGUGGCGAAGGCGGCUCACUGGCUCGAUACUGACGCUGAGGUGCGAAAGUGUCGGGAGCAAACAGGAUUAGAUACCCCUGGUAGUCCACACCGUAAAACGAUGAAUGCCAGUCGUCGGGUAGCAUGCUAUUCGGUGACACACCUAACGGAUUAAGCAUUCCGGCCUGGGGAGUACGGUCGCAAGAUUAAAACC
This 532-nucleotide ribosomal RNA is filed under the name uncultured bacterium. Its description in RNAcentral is "bacterial SSU rRNA". It matches the Rfam family "Bacterial small subunit ribosomal RNA", at positions 355 to 901 of the family's 1533-position model. The record is from RNAcentral.